CCUACGGGAGGCAGCAGUGAGGAAUAUUGGUCAAUGGCCGUAAGGCUGAACCAGCCAAGUCGCGUGAGGGAAGACUGCCCUAUGGGUUGUAAACCUCUUUUAUGCGGGGAUAAAGGUGUCCACGUGUGGAUGUUUGCAGGUACCGCAUGAAUAAGGACCGGCUAAUUCCGUGCCAGCAGCCGCGGUAAUACGGAAGGUCCGGGCGUUAUCCGGAUUUAUUGGGUUUAAAGGGUGCGUAGGCCGGCCUUUAAGCGUGCGGUGAAAUUUUGUGGCUCAACCACGGGAGUGCGGCGCGAACUGGAGACCUUGAGAGCGCGGAAGGCAGGCGGAAUUCGUGGUGUAGCGGUGAAAUGCUUAGAGAUCACACAGAACUCCGAUUGCGAAGGCAGCAUACCGGCGCCCAACUGACGCUGAGGCACGAAAGCGUGGGUAUCGAACAGGAUUAGAUACCCGGGUAGUC
RNAcentral lists this ribosomal RNA (460 nucleotides) under uncultured bacterium. RNAcentral's name for it is "partial 16S ribosomal RNA". It matches the Rfam family "Bacterial small subunit ribosomal RNA", at positions 338 to 795 of the family's 1533-position model. The record is from RNAcentral.